Molecule: transfer RNA, 74 nt
Filed under: hydrothermal vent metagenome
Description: tRNA-Lys-TTT
Rfam family: tRNA
About the family: Transfer RNA (tRNA) molecules are approximately 80 nucleotides in length.
Source: RNAcentral
CGAUGGUUAGCUCAGUGGGUGAGAGCACUACGCUUUUAACGUAGCUGUCGCGGGUUCGAUUCCCGCACCAAUGC